CCUACGGGAGGCAGCAGUGGGGAAUUUUGCGCAAUGCUCGUAAGAGUGACGCAGCGACGCCGCGUGAAUGACGAAGGCCUUCGGGUCGUAAAGUUCUUUCGACAGGGAAGAAAAUGCCUAUAAGUAACUGUGUAUGUAUUGACGGUACCUGUAUAAGCAGCCCCGGCUAACUCCGUGCCAGCAGCCGCGGUAAUACGGAGGGGGCGCGCGUUGUUCGGAGGGACUGGGCGUAAAGAGCACGUAGGCGGUGUUGUAAGUCAUUAGUCAAAGACUAGAGCUCAACUUUAGUAAGGCUAGUGAUACUAUAAUACUAGAGUAUCAGAGAGGAUUGCAGAAUUCCUGGUGUAGCGGUGAAAUGCGUAGAUAUCAGGAGGAAUACCGUUAGCGAAGGCGGCAAUCUGGCUGGAAACUGACGCUGAGGUGCGAAAGCGUGGGUAGCAAACAGGAUUAGAUACCCCAGUAGUC
Molecule: ribosomal RNA, 465 nt
Filed under: uncultured bacterium
Lineage: Bacteria
Description: partial 16S ribosomal RNA
Rfam family: Bacterial small subunit ribosomal RNA
Source: RNAcentral